Gossypium raimondii (Peruvian cotton) is the source of this 2838-nucleotide long non-coding RNA. RefSeq lists it as uncharacterized. The record is from RefSeq and is a predicted model, not a curated record. Lineage: Eukaryota; Viridiplantae; Streptophyta; Magnoliopsida; Malvales; Malvaceae. The transcript is spliced from 3 exons.
CGUUUCAUUUCAUUUUUCUAAAAAAAUUUACAAGGGGGGAAAACCUCUGGUAGGUUUUCAACCCCCCAGCCCUCCAUGCCGCCGCCGUUCAGUUGAUGCCCACGGCCUCCGUCGACGGAGAAGACGCCGAAUCCGGCGAAAAAGGUAAGUUUCUCUUCCCCCUCUCCCUUUUGAUAAAUUAAUAUAAACACAAAAAUACUCAAAAGAGAAUAAAAUCGAAAAAACACCUUUAUAUUCAAAGAAAAAAAAAUGUAUUUCUCUUUUCUUUUUUUCCUGUAUUUCGUAUUUCGUAUUUUGUAUUUGUAUCACUUUUUCGAAUUCCCCUUUUUACAGAUUUUCCAUGGCCUUUUAUAGCCGAAAAUAAUGAAAAUAAAUUCUAUUUUGCUUGCUAUUAUCUUCCUUUUUUGUUGCUGUUUUGUUUCUGUUUGUUGUGCAGGUGCGGAGGUCGUGGAAGAGGCAUGCGAUGUGGAGGCUUGCACGACGUGCGUGGAAAGUGACAACCGCUGGCACACACGCGCGGUGAGGACCCGAUGAUUGCGGCGCCACUGAAACUGCACUAGGGCUUCUCGAUCAUUCCUCUGCUAUUGAUUUCAAGCUACUGUUUGGGCUCAUUUAGUAAUGGGCUGUUUAAUUAUUUGUUUUUGUUUUAGCCAGGCCAAAAUUGGCCUAUUACACAUAUAUAAUUUAAAAUUUAAAUUUAAAGUAAACUAGUAAACGCCAUGCAUGUUGAAACCUCAUUAAUAUUGAGUUAGUGUGCGAUUGGCUUGUGACACCAUUCAAAUUAAAGGUUUAAAGUUAAUAGAGUAUUUCACAUUCAAGCGUAAUCGAUAUUGAAAAAUAUCCAAACUCGAAUCGAUCUCAACGACUUAACUAACUUAGCAUAUAUUGUUAUUUUUAUUUAUUUUAAAUAUGUUAAUAAUAUGUAAUAUAUAAAUAUUCAAAAUUUAAAUUAAACGUAGCCGGAUUUAUUUGCUCAAAUCAGGACAUUGGCAUUGGUAGAAGUCAACAUUUUCUAUCUGUUAGUCGUAUCUUGGUCCUAUCUCCUGAUGAGUAUUCCAUGUAUGUUCUUGACAAGGCUGGGGCUGGGUUUUGUGUAUUGCUUGUGCCUUCAUUUUAAUUGAUUCCUAUCAGCAAUAAUAAUCAUGUUGUACUUUUCAAAAAGAAAAUUGACGAAUGCUCCUCUUCUUGCUUCUCCUGCUUAUGUCUUCAGAAGAGUUUUGUUCAUCCGCCUAUGUCUUCUUUUGCAACUGUUGUAAUGAUGCAUGUUUACCCGUGCAGUGCUUCAAGGUUUGCCUACAUUUAUUUGUUAGGUGCGACAACGAUUCAGCCCCUGUACCAGGGUUGCAUCCAGCUGCUACCAAUUGCCUUGCUGCUGCAGGUACACUAUGACAAACACUAGAGGCAAGUCUAAGGUCGUCGUUCCUGUUUCAAAAAAACAAAAGACUCCGGACGUGACCUCUUCGCCGAGUGCUGCCGUCAAUACCCGUUAUCCAUUCUUACAGUUUCCAUAGGAUCCCCAGGAGGACCUAUAUUAGCAGCUCCGAUAGCGGCCGUUUGGAUUAGGCUGAUGUAUUGAUUGGAUGGCUUUGGAGCAGGUCCAAUUAGCUGAUCGAGUCCGCACCAUCAUUGCUACAGCUCCUUGGGACCAUUUCUUUUCUAUCGUCGAGCCCACCUAUUUGGAGCUGACCUUUGAGUUUUGUUCGACAUUUCUCUUAUAGCAAGUGAUGUCGACCCAUGACGAGCCGCGCACUAUUACUUUUUGAUUCGAUAGUAUGACGCAGCAUAUGAGCGUCCUAGAGUUUGGAGUUACAUUAGGACUCUACACUGAGGAGUUCUUAGGUGCCGAGGGGUUUCCAAUUAUACCGGCACAUCCACUACUCACUAACUCUUUGCUGGGUAGACCUUACGGCUAGUACAAUGACCUAUGAUCUGAGCCGGUCGAAGGUGACUUCACUACCUCUUGCUUUGCGAUAUAUCCAUGCCAUCUUGGCCCACACUUUGACAGAUCGGAGGGAGAGCACAAGAGUUGUCGGUACACUCGACGCUUAUUUUUUGUGGAGCAUGGCCACGGGGUGCACUUUCGAUUUAGCCUAUUUCAUCGCUCUCGCUUUCUGCCAAAGUGUAGUAGGAAAGGUUCUAUCUACAUAGGCCCUUACGUUACUUGACUUGCACGUCACUUUGGCCUCCUCGACACACCGAAGUUGUCCUCCUCCCUUACACUAGUUGGAUAGAUGUCUUCAUAAGGAUCAUCUAGUAUGAGUCACAUGAGGAUGAUCGAGCAACUGCGUGGAGUGGAUCCUCCUCAAUACCGAUUAUCUCAUUUUGAUCCUUAGAAUGAGCAUGAGGACUUCAUUGAUAAUGUUCCUUUCCACUACGAGGGUCCAUAUCAUCCUCCAUCUUAGACUCACCGUUUUGCUACUUCUGUUGCCACCUUAGUGGACCUCUCUGAGUGGUUCACUCGUUUCGAGUGAUACUGUUUUGAGCGGUUCGACAGUAUCGAUGCGACUUUGCAGCAGAUCUGUCAGCACCUCCUUAUAUCCUCUUCAGCGUCGGCGACUCACAACACCGAUGCCUCUGACGAUAAGGAUAAUUGAUUUUAUUUGUUUUCUUUUUCUUUUUAUGUUUAUUUUUGUUUUUGUUUUUAGUUGUUUUAUUUUUAUUUUCUUAGACUUCUUUCGUUUAUUAUCUUCUGAGCUAUAUUUUAAUUUUUUAUGGUUGUUUCUAAUUGAGUUGUAACCUCUUAAUAUUUUUUUAUUAUUUUUAUUUAUUUUCUUAUUAGUUGCUCGAAACUAUGCAUUACAUUUCAAUUGCCUACAAUUUCGAUUUUCACUAUUCUGG